CUCCUCCUCUUCUUCUUCUUCCUUUCCUUUUUCCUCUUCUUCUUCUCCUCCUCUCCUCUUUUUCUCUUCUUCUUCUUCUUUCGUCAAACUAAACUAAACCUAAAACUAAACCUAAAUCUAAAACUAAAACUAAAUCUAAACUAAACAUAAACCUAAAACUAAUAAAACAGAAAAAAGGAAAAAAAUUAAAUCUAAACCUAAAACUAAAACUAAAUCUAAACUAAACAUAAACCUAAAACUAAAAAAACAGAAGAAAAAAAAGGAAAAAGGAAAAAAAGAGGAGGUAGAGCUCACCUGGGGCAGGG
Molecule: long non-coding RNA, 305 nt
Filed under: Triticum aestivum (bread wheat)
Lineage: Eukaryota; Viridiplantae; Streptophyta; Magnoliopsida; Poales; Poaceae
Description: long non-coding RNA (TAES_LNC009692)
Source: RNAcentral